Myotis davidii is the source of this 488-nucleotide long non-coding RNA. RefSeq lists it as uncharacterized. The transcript has 2 exons. Lineage: Eukaryota; Metazoa; Chordata; Mammalia; Chiroptera; Vespertilionidae. The record is from RefSeq and is a predicted model, not a curated record.
UCCGGGCUGGAAACAAUCUCCUUUCCCAGUGACUUUUGCACGGAAGUACUUGCCAAUACGUGGUGGCAAGCCUCGCAGACAGGCUGGAGAACGCUUAGACGUCUGGGCUCCGCAGCAGAAAGAGUCAUUGUUGCCUGUUCGUGACAACCUUCCCGGGAACUCCGGAGCCGCCUCAGAGGAAAUGAGAGAAGGAAAUGCCCAUGUCCUUAUGCGGAGCCCAGUUCAGAGGGGCUGAGUCAGGACCCAGGUCUGUGGCUCAGACUCCACAGCAGUUUUAACCCCCUGCCUGGACCUGCGUCAGAAGGUCCGUAAUUGGAAUGAGGGCAGGUGUCCAGCCUGCACCCAACUCGGGAGGCACACAGCCGGGAUGUGGUGUGGAUGACUCCCGACACAGAAAUGUUAUUCUGACUAUUAUAGACUCUAAAAAGAAAAAUAAAAAGUAGAUGGGGCAGGAUCUCGAGAAAGGCUUAAUUCUGCUUUUAAGAAUU